RNAcentral lists this small RNA (2508 nucleotides) under Arabidopsis thaliana (thale cress). Its description in RNAcentral is "ATSL284980". Lineage: Eukaryota; Viridiplantae; Streptophyta; Magnoliopsida; Brassicales; Brassicaceae. The record is from RNAcentral.
CCAUAGGGUAAGCCGGAGACCAGAGCCACACCUAAAAAGUAUAGCGAGUCCGCCUCGACUAGAUAUCCCUAAGCUUGGCGUUUCGAAACAAACAUAUAGGAUAAGCCAAGAGACGUCUUGCCCCGCAAAAUAUGUAUCGAAGCCGAGUUGCGUAUCACACAUGUUUUAUGAUAAACACAACCAAGCCACGCCUCGCACAUAAAAACAAAUAAUAUUAAUCAGUAAGCGACGUAAGAGCAAACCUCGUCAAACCUAGACCAACUAGAAACUAACACAAUCCAACUUACCACACGACAUUUUGACGUCUUCAACGUGAAACGCCCAUACUUCUUCAUCGGGUAGAGCCGAGUCUCUCUUUCGCCAUGCCGCACUGAGACUCUAUCGUCGCGUCGGCCUUUCCCAAACUUUUUUGCCGUGUGACCUUGAAACUCUCUUUCGCAUGCACCGUUCAAUACAACGGCACACACAUGGCAUUGGAUGGUGACAUACGCAUGGCACGGUAACAAAACCGGCCCUGCAACAACUCUAAUUCGUCAUGACACCAAAUUGAUGAAUCUAUGAAUAUGCCGCCUCGAAUCGGAGAAUCCACCUCGCCACGGUUGUGACACAUUGAUGUUAUCACAAAUUAACAAGGCUCUCGCCGUCGAACAAAUUCGACGUCUCCAGCAUGGAAAGUCCUUCUCAAACUCGCGGCACGAAAGCAUGCAACAAAUCCAACUCCUACUACAGCAUAAUAAUCUCCGGCUCGGCACCACGACACCAUCAUUGGCUCGACAGCCUGACGAUAAUUUUGCCACUCAUCACGAUCGACAACUCAAAUCAGGAAAAAGCCACAACAUCUCAUGACGCGACAGCUCUGUCUCACCUUGGGUCUCGGAACGAGCGGAUCAACACUUAGCGUAACUUGUGGCUUGGCACGUAAAGCACGACCCACGCCUCGCCACGGUAACGCCACUUUGGCGAAAUAUUGCCAUCCAAAAUAACAAGUCUCUCGCCGUCAACCAACUCGAAAAGAUCAUUGGCCCUGCACAGUGGGGCACGGUAGACAACCUGGAUCGGAACGGCGCCACCAAUCUCAAGACAACGACUUGACACGACAAUGCACGCACGUCAAGCCUACCUCGGCACGAUGACAAAUCAUCAAAUCAAACGGAUCGCAGCUAACUCGACCUCGUAGCACGACCUCUAGAUUUUUGCCCGGCAGGUAGCCAUCUUGUGCCUCAACACGACCAAUCUCCAAUUUUUAGCGCACGCAACCUUUUCCUUGGCACGGCAAAGAGUAGCUCGUGGACGUUGCAACACUUCCGUCGCACAACCAACAAAAAAAUAAAUAUAAAGAGAUAAGGGAGAAAGAAGAUUUUACCUUUGGAGAAGAAGCGAAAAUGAGUAUAAAGUGAGGAGAUAGCUGAUACGUUUACCAAGAAAAAUCAUGUUAGCCUAAUUCACUAAGUUAUAUGCAGCCAUCUCGCCUCGAAAAACGUAUUGAAGUCAUUAUUCUCUUGUAAAGUUCCCGCAAACCUCGAAAGAUGUGUCAAAGUCACUAUUCACCCAAGAAAGCUCCGUCUCAUCUCGAAAAACAUGCCCACGGCACUAUUCAUCCGAGAAAGCCUCAGCUCAUCUCAAAAAACAUUCCCACGGCACUAUUUACCUGAGCAAGCUCCGGCUCACCUUGAAAAAUGUGCCCACUGUACUAUUUAUCCAAAAAAGCUCCGGCUCGCCUCCAAAAACAUGUUCGAGGCAUCAAUUUUACCAGAGUAUCAAUGCACAUGCCCAUGCAGCCCCGACUAAUUCAUCCAAGUCAUCCUCUGUUUUACGCCCGACUAACAUAUCCCGCCGAGCUCAAUCAAACUCUCGCACAACAAACUAAGGGCGGGCGUAUUGUUGGACAUGGGCCUUGCCCCUUAUAUGUUAAGAGGCCCAAAACAGAUAUGCACAAGUUUAAAAGGGGCUUCAACUACUAAAAAUGCCCAUUAAGCUUGGAAGGGCAAAAAUGUAAUUUACAGAGGAGACAUAAGGGAUUUUAGGAUUUAGAUUCUCUAUAAAUACUCAGAAGCACUAUUGGGAAGGAGAGAAAUCCAGAGGAGAUUAGCUGAGAGACAAAGAGAAUCGUUGCCUUGCCCAGAAUCGUUGCCUUGUCCGAAAUCGUUGCCUUGCCCAGAAUUGUUGUUUUGUCCGAAAUCGUUGCCUAACACGACAUCGCCGCCUAGCCCGAAAUCGUCGCCUCGCCCAUUUCUGCACUUUGUCUUUCUGCUUUUACGAUUAAGUCUCGGCUCGGAGGAUAGUCUAUAACCCCCGCGACGAAACUAACUUGUUGUAAUCUCUCGAUCUUUGUUAUCGUUAAUAAAAAGAACCAGCUCCGUUCACCUCCCAAAAUCUCGUAUAUUAUUAUUGUUGCAUCCCCAGUACAAACAAUGUUUUUCUUGCUUCUUCUGCAACACAUAGUCUGCUAAACCUUGGUUUUUUGGACACAUUACCCUUCUCUGGUCAAUCAUCACUACCCACUUCAAA